RNAcentral lists this ribosomal RNA (1512 nucleotides) under Triticum aestivum (bread wheat). RNAcentral's name for it is "partial small subunit ribosomal RNA". The record is from RNAcentral. Lineage: Eukaryota; Viridiplantae; Streptophyta; Magnoliopsida; Poales; Poaceae.
AUGCUGGAGGAGGAGCACGGGGCCAUGGGGGCGGACGGCCUCGCCGGCAGCGCGCCGGAGCGGGGCGGCGGGUGGGCGGAGGCGGCGCUGGAGCCGGUGCGGUGGGUGCGGAUGCUGUGCCGGGAGCUGGGCGCGACGUUCGUGGCCGGGGUGGUGCUGGUGUACGGCCUCAACCAGGGGUUCGCCGGCUCCUUCUUCCGGGUGGCGUCCGACUACUACUGGAAGGACGUGCAGCGGGUGCAGCCGGCCACCGUGCAGUUCCUCUCCAUCUUCUUCCACGUCCCCUGGGUCCUCAAGCCCCUCUGGGGGGUCAUGACCGACGUCUUCCCCGUCCGAGGCUACCGCCGCCGCCCCUACUUCGUCUUCUCAGGAAUGCUUGGAAUGUUUUCAACUGCUAUUCUUGCCAGUGUUGGACUAUCAGUGACUUCUGCAGUAGUUUGCUUCGUGGGAAUCUCCACAGCAGUUGCCAUUGCUGAUGUUACAAUAGAUGCAUGCAUUGCAAAGAACAGUAUUGACAAGCCAGCAUUGGCCCCAGACAUGCAGAGCCUUUGUGCAUUCUCGUCGUCGCUAGGUGCACUUAUUGGGUAUGCUACAAGUGGCAUGUUUGUCCACCAUCUAGGAGCACAGGGUGCAUUAGGUGUGAUGGCUUUACCUCCUACUAUGUUGGUUUUCCUAGGAUUUUACAUAUAUGAGCUGAAAAUGUAUCAGCAUAACAUGAAAGAGAAGGUUUUGAACAAGGUUACUGUGGCAGUUAAAGGGAUGGUUCAGACAAUAAAGUAUCCAGUAGUGUGGAAACCAUCUCUUUACAUGUUCCUUUCGCUGGCCCUCAGUAUCAGCACUCAUGAGGGGCAGUUCUACUGGUACACUAACAAGGAACCGCCUAAUCCUGGAUUUUCACAGGAAUUUGUGGGGAUGGUGCACGCCGUCGGCGCGGUGGCGUCCAUGGUGGGCGUCCUGAUCUACCACAAGAACCUCAAGGACUACCCGUUCCGGAGCAUCCUCUUCUUCGCCCAGCUCCUGCACGGCGCCUCCGGCCUCCUCGACCUCACCUUCGUGCUCCGGUGGAACCUCGCGCUCGGCGUCCCGGACGCGGUCUUCGUCACCCUGGAGGAGUGCGUCUCCCGGGUCGUCGGCCGCGUCCGGCUGAUGCCGAUGAUGGUCCUCAGCACCAAGCUCUGCCCGCCGGGCGCCGAGGGCACCUUCUUCGCGCUGCUCAUGUGCAUCGACAGCCUCGGCAUGCUGGUCGCCAAGACCGGCGGCGCCUUCGUGCUCCGGGCCCUGCACGUGACGAGGACCGAUUUCAGCAACCUCUGGCUCGCCGUGCUGCUGCGGAACCUGCUGAGGCUGUCCGCGCUGGGCGCCAUCUUCCUGGUGCCCACCGCCGACCAGACCGACGUGCUGCUCCCGCAGGACCUCCUCAGCUCCGGCUCCCCGGCGGCUGCCGCCGGCGACGAGGAAGAGAGGUUGUUGCAGCUCGGGAAGCUCACUUCUCACACUGACGACGAUGUAUGA